RNAcentral lists this transfer RNA (72 nucleotides) under Schistocephalus solidus. It matches the Rfam family "tRNA". Rfam says of the family: Transfer RNA (tRNA) molecules are approximately 80 nucleotides in length. Their secondary structure includes four short double-helical elements and three loops (D, anti-codon, and T loops). Further hydrogen bonds mediate the characteristic L-shaped molecular structure. tRNAs have two regions of fundamental functional importance: the anti-codon, which is responsible for specific mRNA codon recognition, and the 3' end, to which the tRNAs corresponding amino acid is attached (by aminoacyl-tRNA synthetases). tRNAs cope with the degeneracy of the genetic code in two manners: having more than one tRNA (with a specific anti-codon) for a particular amino acid; and 'wobble' base-pairing, i.e. permitting non-standard base-pairing at the 3rd anti-codon position. Lineage: Eukaryota; Metazoa; Platyhelminthes; Cestoda; Diphyllobothriidea; Diphyllobothriidae. The record is from Rfam by way of RNAcentral.
GGCCUCGUAGCUCAGUUGGCUAGAGUUUUGGCCUAACCCUUGCUGACGUGGGUUCGAAUCUCACCGCGGCCG